UACGGAGGGUGCGAGCGUUGUUCGGAAUCACUGGGCGUAAAGGGCGCGUAGGCGGCGCCACAAGUCACUUGUGAAAACUCUGGGCUCAACUCAGAGCCUGCAAGCGAAACUGUGGUGCUGGAGUAUGGGAGAGGUGCGUGGAAUUCCCGGUGUAGCGGUGAAAUGCGUAGAUAUCAGGAGGAACACCAAUUGCGAAGGCAGCUCGCUGGGACGUUACUGACGCUGAGACGCGAAAGCGUGGGGAGCAAACAGG
This 253-nucleotide ribosomal RNA is filed under the name uncultured bacterium. RNAcentral's name for it is "partial 16S ribosomal RNA". It matches the Rfam family "Bacterial small subunit ribosomal RNA", at positions 524 to 776 of the family's 1533-position model. The record is from RNAcentral.